Molecule: small RNA, 127 nt
Filed under: Marmota monax (woodchuck)
Lineage: Eukaryota; Metazoa; Chordata; Mammalia; Rodentia; Sciuridae
Source: RNAcentral
ACUGGGCGUGGUGGUUUAUGCCUGUAAUCCCAGCAACUCCGGAGGCUGAGGCAGGAGUAUCACAAGUUCAAAGCCAGCCUCAGCAAUUUAGCAAGGCCCUAAGCAACUUAGUGAGACCCUGUCUCAA